GGGGGUGUUUCUGAACGAUGCUGUGAGAGAAUCACUUUCCACAAGAAAAGGUAUCGCAGAGAGGAAGGGGGAGAUGGCAACAGAAAGUGAGGUCAAUUUCUCCACAUAUUCAGAACGUCCUAAAAGCUCCACAAAAUCUUCAUCAUGAGUGAUUACCAGAAGCUGGAAGUUACGCUGCUGUGAGCGACUUUUUAAAGGCUUACUCCUUCGCCUGGGAUUUUCUCCUUCGCCUGGGAUUUUCCUGACCUGUUACUACUUUUCUCUGGAAGAAAAAUUUAAAAGUAAUAAAGACAAACUACAGUUACUUGGGUGAGUUGGCUCCCCAGGCUUUUGAGAUACCUGCCUUUUGUCCAGCACUGCAUCGUCCUCGCAUAUCCAAGGCUGUGUCUCCCUUCAGCAUCACCACUCGGUAGUUAUAAUUCCGCCUUUUAUCAGAAGCUGAUACAUUUUCAUCGGCAUCAGACCGUAUUUCUAUGUAUUCAAUAUCUGAC
This 491-nucleotide non-coding RNA is filed under the name Pongo abelii (Sumatran orangutan). The record is from RNAcentral. Lineage: Eukaryota; Metazoa; Chordata; Mammalia; Primates; Hominidae.